AACGAACGCUGGCGGCAUGCCUAACACAUGCAAGUCGAACGAGACCUUCGGGUCUAGCGGCGCACGGGUGCGUAACGCGUGGGAAUCUGCCCUUGGGUUCGGAAUAACAGUUGGAAACGACUGCUAAUACCGGAUGAUGACGUAAGUCCAAAGAUUUAUCGCCCAAGGAUGAGCCCGCGUAGGAUUAGCUAGUUGGUGAGGUAAAGGCUCACCAAGGCGACGAUCCUUAGCUGGUCUGAGAGGAUGAUCAGCCACACUGGGACUGAGACACGGCCCAGACUCCUACGGGAGGCAGCAGUGGGGAAUAUUGGACAAUGGGCGAAAGCCUGAUCCAGCAAUGCCGCGUGAGUGAUGAAGGCCUUAGGGUUGUAAAGCUCUUUUACCCGGGAUGAUAAUGACAGUACCGGGAGAAUAAGCUCCGGCUAACUCCGUG
Molecule: ribosomal RNA, 433 nt
Filed under: uncultured bacterium
Lineage: Bacteria
Description: partial 16S ribosomal RNA
Rfam family: Bacterial small subunit ribosomal RNA
Source: RNAcentral